GCAGGCCUAAUACAUGCAAGUCGAACGGUAACAUUGGUGCUUGCACCAGAUGACGAGUGGCGCACGGGUGCGUAACGCGUAUGCAAUCUACCUUUUACUAGAGUAUAGCCCAGAGAAAUUUGGAUUAAUCCUCUAUAAUAUCUUUUAAUUUCAUGAUUUUAAGAUUAAAGUUUUAACGGUAAAAGAUGAGCAUGCGUCCUAUUAGUUUGUAGGUGAGGUAACGGCUCACCUAGACUACGAUAGGUAGGGGCCCUGAGAGGGGGAUCCCCCACACUGGUACUGAGACACGGACCAGACUCCUACGGGAGGCAGCAGUAAGGAAUAUUGGACAAUGGACGAAAGUCUGAUCCAGCCAUGCCGCGUGCAGGAUGAAAGCCCUACGGGUUGUAAACUGCUUUUAUACAGGAAGAAACACUCCGACGUGUCGGAGCUUGACGGUACUGUAAGAAUAAGGAUCGGC
This 460-nucleotide ribosomal RNA is filed under the name uncultured Bacteroidota bacterium. RNAcentral's name for it is "bacterial SSU rRNA". It matches the Rfam family "Bacterial small subunit ribosomal RNA", at positions 42 to 497 of the family's 1533-position model. The record is from RNAcentral. Lineage: Bacteria; Pseudomonadati; Bacteroidota.